RNAcentral lists this ribosomal RNA (653 nucleotides) under Nostoc sp. FB25. RNAcentral's name for it is "bacterial SSU rRNA". It matches the Rfam family "Bacterial small subunit ribosomal RNA", at positions 109 to 796 of the family's 1533-position model. The record is from RNAcentral. Lineage: Bacteria; Bacillati; Cyanobacteriota; Cyanophyceae; Nostocales; Nostocaceae.
AGUAACGCGUAGAAUCUGGCUNUAGGUCUGGGACAACCACUGGAAACGGUGGCUAAUACCGGAUGUGCCGAAAGGUGAAAGGUUAACUGCCUGGAGAUGAGCUCGCGUCUGAUUAGCUAGUAGGUGUGGUAAGAGCGCACCUAGGCGACGAUCAGUAGCUGGUCUGAGAGGACGAUCAGCCACACUGGGACUGAGACACGGCCCAGACUCCUACGGGAGGCAGCAGUGGGGAAUUUUCCGCAAUGGGCGAAAGCCUGACGGAGCAAUACCGCGUGAGGGAGGAAGGCUCUUGGGUCGUAAACCUCUUUUCUCAGGGAAGAACAAAAUGACGGUACCUGAGGAAUAAGCAUCGGCUAACUCCGUGCCAGCAGCCGCGGUAAUACGGAGGAUGCAAGCGUUAUCCGGAAUGAUUGGGCGUAAAGCGUCCGCAGGUGGCUGUGUAAGUCUGCUGUUAAAGAGUCUAGCUCAACUAGAUACAAGCAGUGGAAACUACACGGCUAGAGUACGUUCGGGGCAGAGGGAAUUCCUGGUGUAGCGGUGAAAUGCGUAGAGAUCAGGAAGAACACCAGUGGCGAAGGCGCUCUGCUAGGCCGUAACUGACACUGAGGGACGAAAGCUAGGGGAGCGAAAGGGAUUAGAUACCCCUGUAGUCA